Molecule: RNA transcript, 884 nt
Organism: Grammomys surdaster
Lineage: Eukaryota; Metazoa; Chordata; Mammalia; Rodentia; Muridae
Gene name: T-cell leukemia/lymphoma protein 1A-like
Exons: 4
Source: RefSeq, a predicted model, not a curated record
AGCUUUAUCACGGACUGGCGUUGCAAUUUUCUGACUGGCGUUGCAAUUUUCUGCUUCUUGCUCGGACCAGAUGCCAUGGCUACCCAGCCGGCAUACAGGCCAGAAAGACCCCCACACCCCGACCGCCUGUGGAUCUGGGAGAAGCACGUGUACUUGGAUGAAUUUCGUCGAAGCUGGCUGCCCAUAGUCAUCGAGAGUGAUAGAAAAUUCCAGGUGAUCAUGCGCCAGGAAGAUGUCACCUUGGGGGCUGCUAUGACCUCCAGUCAGCUGGUGUCUUACGAGCUGCCUUUAAUGUGGCAACUGUACCCUGAGGGAAGGUACCGAAGCUGUAAUUCCACGUUCUGGCAGAUACUGUACCACAUCAAGGCAAGCACAGCUUACCCCAGGGACUCAGGUUAGAGAGAUAGAAGAAGCUAUCAUCUGAGGUCUUAGCCAAACACCUUGGCACAAGGAACCCUCUAUGGUAGUCACUGACUGAGACCAGUUGAGAGGGCUAGCCACCUCACCUCAGGCCCCAGUACUAACCCAGGCUGAGGAACACUGAGCCAGAAUGAAAGAGGAAUCCUCAGGGCUGGUCUGACUACUCCCUUGUCUCUCUCCUUCUCCACCCUCAGUUCAGAGACGUGGAGGACAUGUUACUUGAACUGAUGGACUCCAAUGAAUAACCUGAGACAUGGUCCUAACAGCUCCUGUCUCCCUUGCCCAGGCCUGGGCCCACAGGGGAGAUGUUGGUACUUCUAUUCACUCUGUUUGCUAGUCAUGUCCUUUAUCCUCCACACUGGACUCCAAGAAGAAAACUCCGGCCAGAGGCUGCCCCUUCCCAUGCUCCUGUCACCUGCUCAUCUACCUUGGUUGGUCCCUCAGUUCUGCUGACUCCCUGGCAA